Molecule: long non-coding RNA, 719 nt
Organism: Formica exsecta
Lineage: Eukaryota; Metazoa; Arthropoda; Insecta; Hymenoptera; Formicidae
Exons: 3
Source: RefSeq, a predicted model, not a curated record
AGGAGCGAUACUUACAGAUUGAUUACAUUUUACAAUGAAAGAUGCGUGAAAUAAAUUCGAGCGGAACAAUGGAGUUCUUGCGCAGUCGUCGCGUGACGUCAUAUGACGUCAGGUAUAGGCUGCGUUCAGAAAUAUCAUCCAUCAUGCACACGGGUGAUGUUUCCAAACGCAGCCAUACUCGCAUGCGCACCUAUUAUUGAUAGUUCGUAGAUAGACCGUUUACCUACGCUCACCUUUUGUCACUUUGUGCGGAGGUAUGAAAUGCGAUACUGCACGAUAUAAUUCCGAACACGCCGCGUUGAUUGCGCGACUGGCGGGCAACUUCAAGUUUAUAAAUAAUUUUGUUUGUAAAUAAAAUGAGACGAAGCGUAAAAAAUGCGCUAACAUAAAAUUCCAUCAAUACGAUUUUCCGGACGAUUCCAACGAACAGGGAUUUAAUUUAAGACUUGGCAACAACUGCUGUGGUAAGUUCUGCAAAUUAUACGGCAAACAGAUAAUCACAUUUGCAGCCUUUUGAGAUGCUAAUGCCAAUAAAUCAUGUAUUGUCGGCACAACCACUGCAGUUCCAUCAGUUCUAGUGCCUUUUUGCUUGUAAUUGAUAAACCCACCAACAUUGCUAAUAGGUGCAGCUGCAUAUACUCCAUUUAAUUGUGAGAUGUCUUGUUGUGAAAUUAUCUAUAACAUUUAAUAUUUAAUAAUUAUAUUACGUAAAUAUAUAA